Molecule: ribosomal RNA, 200 nt
Filed under: uncultured bacterium
Lineage: Bacteria
Description: partial 16S ribosomal RNA
Rfam family: Bacterial small subunit ribosomal RNA
Source: RNAcentral
AACGAACGCUGGCGGCAGGCCUAACACAUGCAAGUCGAACGGGAUCUUCGGAUCUAGUGGCGGACGGCUGAGUAACGCGUGGGAACAUGCCCCAAAGUGAGGAAUAACUGCCCGAAAGGGUAGCUAAUGCCGCAUAUGAUCUUCGGAUUAAAGGAUUUAUCCGCUUUGGGAGUGGCCCGCGUACGAUUAGAUAGUUGGUG